UUGCUAGGUGGAUUAGUGGCGAACGGGUGAGUAACACGUGAGUAACCUGCCCCUGACUCUGGGAUAAGCCUGAGAAAUUGGGUCUAAUACUGGAUAUGAACAUUUACCGCAUGGUGGGUGUUGGAAAGAUUUUUUGGUUGGGGAUGGACUCGCGGCCUAUCAGCUUGUUGGUGAGGUAGUGGCUCACCAAGGCGACGACGGGUAGCCGGCCUGAGAGGGUGACCGGCCACACUGGGACUGAGACACGGCCCAGACUCCUACGGGAGGCAGCAGUGGGGAAUAUUGCACAAUGGGCGAAAGCCUGAUGCAGCGACGCCGCGUGAGGGAUGACGGCCUUCGGGUUGUAAACCUCUUUCAGUAAGGAAGAAGCGAAAGUGACGGUACUUGCAGAAGAAGCGCCGGCUAACUACGUGCCAGCAGCCGCGGUAAUACGUAGGGCGCGAGCGUUAUCCGGAAUUAUUGGGCGUAAAGAGCUCGUAGGCGGUUUGUCGCGUCUGCCGUGAAAGUCCGGGGCUUAACUCCGGAUCUGCGGUGGGUACGGGCAGGCUAGAGUGCAGUAGGGGAGACUGGAAUUCCUGGUGUAGCGGUGAAAUGCGCAGAUAUCAGGAGGAACACCGAUGGCGAAGGCAGGUCUCUGGGCUGUAACUGACGCUGAGGAGCGAAAGCAUGGGUAGCGAACAGGAUUAGAUACCCUGGUAGUCCAUGCCGUAAACGUUGGGCACUAGGUGUGGGG
RNAcentral lists this ribosomal RNA (733 nucleotides) under Micrococcus lylae. Its description in RNAcentral is "bacterial SSU rRNA". It matches the Rfam family "Bacterial small subunit ribosomal RNA", at positions 80 to 827 of the family's 1533-position model. The record is from RNAcentral. Lineage: Bacteria; Bacillati; Actinomycetota; Actinomycetes; Micrococcales; Micrococcaceae.